UUUGAACAGAAAAACUGCUGUCGAAGUUUCGAUGAUUACGAUAACGGAUUCUUGAACGUUAACAAGAUUGUCACUUUAUACAUUUCCUAAUUUCAUGGAAAUUUAUCGCUGUUGACAUACAGAGGAAGUAAAACUAUAGAUUUCAAAUAAGAGUUAAUAUUAAUUUGAAAACUAACAUUCAUCGUGUAAAGCAUAACUGUGGUUGACGAUAUACUAAUUUCAGAGAUUGGAAACAUAUUUUACAUAUGUUGCAAUUACCCAUAAAUAGUGAGAGUCAUAAUUCAAGGAUGAGUCGCAGCUGCACAAGAAAGAAACCUUUUACUUUUAUUUCUAACAUUCUUAAAAAAAAGAAAAUUCUAAAAUUCGAGGAUAUUGCUUUUGAUAAAGAAAUGAAUUAUCGUGCUCGAUCAGAACCUUCAGUUUCGACAUAUAGUUGCUCUCAUAAAUGCAAACGGAAAAAAACUCCUUCUGCUUCGACACUCAGUUUAACACCCACACAGGAUAGAUUUGCAUCGGAUGAUAUUGAAGCCCACCGAUUAAGGAAUGGAUGUCACAUUAGCAGCCAACAUUGCCGCCCUACAAUCCGCCCUGGUGU
Molecule: long non-coding RNA, 595 nt
Organism: Aedes aegypti (yellow fever mosquito)
Lineage: Eukaryota; Metazoa; Arthropoda; Insecta; Diptera; Culicidae
Exons: 3
Source: RefSeq, a predicted model, not a curated record